UUGCUAGAAUAUGACGAGCGGCGGACGGGUGAGUAAUGCUUGGGAACAUGCCUUGAGGUGGGGGACAACAGUUGGAAACGACUGCUAAUACCGCAUAAUGUCUACGGACCAAAGGGGGCUUCGGCUCUCGCCUUUAGAUUGGGCCAAGUGGGAUUAGCUAGUUGGUGAGGUAAUGGCUCACCAAGGCGACAAUCCCUAGCUGGUUUGAGAGGAUGAUCAGCCACACUGGGACUGAGACACGGCCCACACUCCUACGGGAGGCAGCAGUGGGGAAUAUUGCACAAUGGGCGCAAGCCUGAUGCAGCCAUGCCGCGUGUGUGAAGAAGGCCUUCGGGUUGUAAAGCACUUUCAGUCAGGAGGAAAGGUUAGUAGUUAAUACCUGCUAGCUGUGACGUUACUGA
Molecule: ribosomal RNA, 401 nt
Filed under: marine sediment bacterium BB0608_2216_2.1_3S0
Lineage: Bacteria
Description: bacterial SSU rRNA
Rfam family: Bacterial small subunit ribosomal RNA
Source: RNAcentral